Long non-coding RNA from Vicia villosa (hairy vetch), 477 nucleotides. RefSeq lists it as uncharacterized. The transcript has 3 exons. NCBI's taxonomy places the organism in Eukaryota, Viridiplantae, Streptophyta, Magnoliopsida, Fabales, Fabaceae. The record is from RefSeq and is a predicted model, not a curated record.
GUGGUCAAAUAGUAGCUCUUAGAGUAAAUGUUGGAACUGAACCUGAUGCAGAUCUUGGUCCGGUUAUCAGAUCUUAGAACCCAGAACAUAUUUCAUGGCCAGAUGUGGAUUAACUGCAAGGCUUAAGUUCUUCUUUGGGGACCAAAUGCAGAAGAUCCUUCUCACGUAGAGACGUGGUUUCGUUAACAAGCAACCUGAGGGCUGAAAGAGGCAAUGACAACCAUUCUGCUGCUUCAUCUAGAUCAUCACUAUUCAACUCAGCCUUGAUGCAUAAGUCUUCCAAACUUGUGGAACCUUCAGAUGAUGGUCUUCUGGAGUGUAUAUUGGGCAUUGAUUGCUGAUUUUUUAUGUGUGUUGCAGGUAGGUGGGUUUUGAACUGGUUUGAAAGUCCAAUUACGAAUGAAUGCUCUUGUGCAGUAUGUUGUAGGUUGUUUUUGUCUCCAGGCUUUUGCUUGUGAUGAUGAAGAUUUGAAUUGG